AAUACUACCACAUAUUAUCAGAUAUGGCAAUUACAGACAAACUUUCAUGUUCUGCAUCUCCUUUACCAAAUCUUAGAACCCAAGUCAGUUCUCCUUCAAUAAUCCCAAUAUCCCUAAUCCUACAUCUCCAUUCUCCAUCCCAAACCAUAUUAAAAAAAAACACAUUUGAAUUCCCUCCAAAUAAGCACCACCCACUAUGAACACAGAAAGGAUAAAUUUGAAGACACUGUACCAACCAUGUCAGAGAUAUUGAACCCAUCAAAAGCCCAAAACCCUGACCUCCAGCUCCAAACUCUAGGCCCCUUUUUCAGAAUCACGGCCAAGAGCUUGGGAAGGCUGAGGGGCUAAUAAGGGUCUGAUUGCAAGGGACAAUUCUUCACUUUGGUAUUGGUUUGUUCCUUGGAGCUGUUGCUAUUCGAUAUGGAUAUGAUUGUGGUUGCAAAACAGCCGAGUUACUUGCAAUCAAUGAUUCUGAUCUUUACCAUUCCAAGCUUGUUAGGUUCUACACAAGAAUUGGAUUUAAGGCUGUGCAUGAAGUAACAGGUUCAGGAUUUGGAGAUUAUGCCCACAUGUUGGUCUGGGGAGGAGUUGGGACUCGAAUGGAUGCUAAUGUUGAAGAACUUCUUGUAAAAUGGUGUACCAGGUUCAAACCUCGGAAGUGAUUCACUGGUUGAGUAAUUUCUCUCAAUCCAUUUCAAAUUGAGCAACGUCUCUUCUAAUUCUAUGAAGCACAGACUAGAAAUUCUACUGUCAUUAAAAACUGCUAUCUGAGGUGGAAAAUUAGUGUGUU
Quercus lobata is the source of this 790-nucleotide long non-coding RNA. RefSeq lists it as uncharacterized. The transcript is spliced from 2 exons. NCBI's taxonomy places the organism in Eukaryota, Viridiplantae, Streptophyta, Magnoliopsida, Fagales, Fagaceae. The record is from RefSeq and is a predicted model, not a curated record.